This 432-nucleotide ribosomal RNA is filed under the name uncultured bacterium. RNAcentral describes it as "partial 16S ribosomal RNA". It matches the Rfam family "Bacterial small subunit ribosomal RNA", at positions 29 to 506 of the family's 1533-position model. The record is from RNAcentral.
AACGAACGCUGGCGGCAUGCCUAACACAUGCAAGUCGAACGAGACCUUCGGGUCUAGUGGCGCACGGGUGCGUAACGCGUGGGAACCUGCCCUUAGGUUCGGAAUAACUCCCCGAAAGGGGUGCUAAUACCGGAUAAUGUCUUCGGCCCAAAGAUUUAUCGCCUUUGGAUGGGCCCGCGUUGGAUUAGCUAGUUGGUAGGGUAAAAGCCUACCAAGGCGACGAUCCAUAGCUGGUCUGAGAGGAUGAUCAGCCACACUGCGACUGGGACACGGCCCAGACUCCUACGGGAGGCAGCAGUGGGGAAGAUUGGACGAUGGGCGAAAGCCUGAUCCAGCAAGGCCGCGAGAGUGAUGAAGGCCUUAGGGAUGUAAAGCUCUUUUACCCGGGAUGAUAAGGACAGUACCGGGAGAAUAAGCUCCGGCUAACUCCGU